This 237-nucleotide ribosomal RNA is filed under the name uncultured bacterium. Its description in RNAcentral is "partial 16S ribosomal RNA". It matches the Rfam family "Bacterial small subunit ribosomal RNA", at positions 27 to 266 of the family's 1533-position model. The record is from RNAcentral.
GGACGAACGCUGGCGGCGUGCUUAACACAUGCAAGUCGAGCGGUAAGGCCUUUCGGGGUACACGAGCGGCGAACGGGUGAGUAACACGUGGGUGAUCUGCCUCGCACUUCGGGAUAAGCCUGGGAAACUGGGUCUAAUACCGGAUAUGACCAUGGGAUGCAUGUCUUGGUGGUGGAAAAGAUUUAUCGGUGUGAGAUGGGCCCGCGGCCUAUCAGCUUGUUGGUGGGGUAAUGGCCA